This 1066-nucleotide long non-coding RNA is filed under the name Oncorhynchus kisutch (coho salmon). Its description in RNAcentral is "lncRNA (ENSOKIG00005022533.1)". The record is from RNAcentral. Lineage: Eukaryota; Metazoa; Chordata; Actinopteri; Salmoniformes; Salmonidae.
CCUAGACGCCCAGACCAUCCUGCUGCAGGAGAGCCUGAGAGAGGAGAGAGAAGAGAGGGAGAAGAGAGAAAGAGAGGAGAGAGAGGGGGGAACAUCCGUGAGUAUUUAUAGGCAUACAGCCAGGACACCUAUGACCCAUUUAUAUAAUCUCUGUCUGACCCAAAUCUACCCCCCCCCCGUCCUUUUUUCUCUUUAUCAGCGUCUGCCAAGUUUGCUGGAGGAGACUCGGUGAGUACCCCAAAGUUAUGGCCAGGAGUUUUUCCUUGAGUUUCCCAUAGCCAAUGGAAAUCAUCAGACCUCACACUCAUUCUGCUCUGUUGUCAUGUUUACCAGGGGGAAGCCUUCUGAUAUCCACUACCUGAAGGUCAUCUGCAAAGGAAGCUUUGGGACGGUGGUGUUAGCGAUACACAGACAGAGUGGAAGUAUGUACGCUUUAAAGGUUCUACAGGAACAGGUCAUACUGAGGAAGAAAGAAGUAUCUAUUAUUCCAUUCCAUUUCCGUUAUAUUCUAAUUCCAUUCCAUUCUAUUCCAUUCUAUUUCCGUUCCAUUCUAUUUCCAUUCCAUUCUAUUUCCGUUCCAUUCUAUUUCCAUUCCAUUCUAUUUCCAUUCUAUUCUAUUCUAUUCUAUUUCCAUUCCAUUCUAUUUCCAUUCCAUUUCCGUUAUAUUCUAAUUCCAUUCCAUUCUAUUUCCAUUCUAUUUCCAUUCUAUUUCCGUUCCAUUCUAUUUCCAUUUCAUUCUAUUUCCGUUCCAUUCUAUUUCCAUUCCAUUCUAUUUCCAUUCUAUUCUAUUUCCAUUCUAUUUCCAUUCCAUUUCCGUUAUAUUCUAAUUCCAUUCCAUUCUAUUUCCAUUCCAUUCUAUUUCCGUUCCAUUCUUUUUCCGUUCCAUUCUAUUCUAUUUCCAUUCCAUUCUAUUUCCGUUCCAUUCUUUUUCCGUUCCAUCCUAUUUCCAUUCCAUUCUAUUUCUAUUCCAUUUGUCACGGCUGUUGAAGGAAGAACUGGACCAAGGUGCAGCGUGGUCAGCGUACAUGUUCUCCUUUUAUUCGAAAUGACGCCGACAAAACAAUAA